RNAcentral lists this ribosomal RNA (383 nucleotides) under uncultured bacterium. RNAcentral's name for it is "bacterial SSU rRNA". It matches the Rfam family "Bacterial small subunit ribosomal RNA", at positions 28 to 428 of the family's 1533-position model. The record is from RNAcentral.
GAUAAACGCUGGCGGCGUGCUUCAGGCAUGCAAGUCGAACGGACCUUCGGGUCAGUGGCGGACGGGUGAGUAACACGUAAGUAACCUGCCCAGAGGUGGGGAAUAACUAGCCGAAAGGUUGGCUAAUACCGCAUGUGAUGGUCGGUCUCUGGACUGGUCAUUAAAGAUUUAUCGCUUCUGGAGGGGCUUGCGGUCGAUUAGCUAGUUGGUGGGGUAAUGGCCUACCAAGGCGACGANCGAUAGCUGGUCUGAGAGGACGGUCAGCCACACGGGGACUGAGAUACGGCCCCGACUCCUACGGGAGGCAGCAGCUAGGAAUCUUGGGAAUGGGCGAAAGCCUGACCCAGCAACGCCGCGUGGGCGAUGAAGGCCUUCGGUCGUAA